Long non-coding RNA from Chenopodium quinoa (quinoa), 1565 nucleotides. RefSeq lists it as uncharacterized. The record is from RefSeq and is a predicted model, not a curated record. NCBI's taxonomy places the organism in Eukaryota, Viridiplantae, Streptophyta, Magnoliopsida, Caryophyllales, Amaranthaceae. The transcript is spliced from 5 exons.
AUGAAGAUGCCUUUAAUAGAUUCAUUGAUGAGAUCAAUUCUAUUGCUGCAUAUGAUUGGUGGGAAGGCUCUGUUCACAGUAUUCUUUUAGUGCUUGCUUAUCCUUGUGCUUGGUCAUGGAAACAAUGGCGUCGUAGAAUUAAAAUCCAACUUCUGUAGGAUUAUGUCAAGUCUGAAUAUAACCAUUCGUGUCUACGCUCUUGCUGAGCAAGGGCAUUGCACAAAGGAAUGAAGGUUGGAGGAACACCUGAUUUAAUGGUUGCAUAUAUUGAUUUCUUUCUUAGUGGUGACGAAAAUCGUGUAGAUAUUGUGUCAAUCAUACAAAAGAGGUUUCCCUUGUGCAUAAUUUUUGGUGGCAAUGGCUGUUAUAUGUCUCCGUAUAGUCUUCAUAGUGAUGCACUGUAGACCAAUCUGAUGGCUCAGCAUGUCCCAACUUCUGUAUGGAGUCAUUUGGUGGCUGGCCUGAAUGCUCAGUUGAGGACAGUCCAGCAUGGAUUCAUGCCACACUGGGAUCUCUGGAAUUCAAAGGGACAUUUUCUUUCUAUUUUCUCUGUUUCUGCGCAACACUAGGCCAGUUGGUUGCCAGGAUACUUUGCAGCUGCUCAUCUUGAUCAUCAUUUUGGCUUACCUUUCUGUCACCUGCCUUACGCUUGUACACUUUUACUGGAUUUCUCUAGGGAGUUUUCUUGCUAUCUUGCUUAUUCGUCCUUUAUCUCUGUUGUCCCCCUUUCCUGCGGGCUUGAAUGCACUAUUCAACGAAGGACAUAGGAGGGCUUUUCUGACACGAAUGUAUGCAUUGUGGAACGCUACAUCUUUGUCAAGCAUUGUCAGUUAGGGCUUAAGCCUAACUUAGAGUAAAUGUAAAUUGAAGGUACUAACGUUUGCCAAAAGUUGCACAUAAGGUAUCAACGUUUCAAAAGUUGCACAAAGGGUACUGAACUUGUUAUAGGAGGUAAACAAUCCGGUGAAAACUUGUUAAAACGGUUGGAACAAGUUUUUGGUUUAUCAAAAAAAGGAAAAAUAAUUAAAUAGGAACACGUGUGCUUCAGGAAGGAAAAAAAAAGGCUAAUUUGUACAUUGGGAAACAAAAAACAUCAUUACCUUUCACCUUUCUCCCUCUUCAACACACUAACUCUUCCAAGCACCCAGAAAUCACGAAAAUGGUGGCAGCUUCAAUUUCAACCUAUUUUACUUGUUCUUCAAUUGCUUCUAUGAAAACUAAAACCUUCCCAUUUCCAUUACUCUCCCAAAGAUGCAAGGUGGACAAGAUGGCUAUAUGAGUAUAUAUGGAAGUCAGUUUUUUUGGAGUUGUACCAGCUAUAAUUUAACUGAUAGAUAUCUUGAACAAUUGCAAACUUCAGUCCCCUCUUUAUUAAUGUCAGAAUUUUAUUUUUCAUUUUUUUUUUGUUUGGUUAACCUGUUGUAGAAGGUCAAUUAUAUGGUGAGUACUCUAUCUGCAACUUUUGAAACGUUAGUAUCUUAUUUGCAACUUUUGGCAAACGUUAGCACCUUUAAUUUGUAUUUACUCGCCCAACUUAUAAUGAAACUAUUGAGAUUUUUUCUUUC